This 251-nucleotide ribosomal RNA is filed under the name uncultured prokaryote. Its description in RNAcentral is "partial 16S rRNA". It matches the Rfam family "Bacterial small subunit ribosomal RNA", at positions 525 to 775 of the family's 1533-position model. The record is from RNAcentral.
ACGGAGGGUGCAAGCGUUAUUCGGAAUUACUGGGCGUAAAGCGCACGUAGGCGGCUUCGUAAGUCAGGGGUGAAAUCCCACGGCUCAACCGUGGAACUGCCUUUGAAACUGCAAAGCUUGAAUCCUGGAGAGGGUGGCGGAAUUCCUGGUGUAGCAGUGAAAUCCGUAGAUAUCAGGAGGAACACCGAUGGCGAAGGCGGCCACCUGGACAAGUAUUGACGCUGAGGUGCGAAAGUGUGGGGAGCAAACAG